GGAUAGCUCAAUUGGUUAGCAUAGUGCUGAUAAUGCCAAGGUUGCAGGUUCGAUCCCCGUGAGGAACA
Non-coding RNA from Podarcis lilfordi (Lilford's wall lizard), 68 nucleotides. Lineage: Eukaryota; Metazoa; Chordata; Lepidosauria; Squamata; Lacertidae. The record is from the annotation of a GenBank genome assembly.